This 274-nucleotide ribosomal RNA is filed under the name uncultured bacterium. Its description in RNAcentral is "partial 16S ribosomal RNA". It matches the Rfam family "Bacterial small subunit ribosomal RNA", at positions 523 to 796 of the family's 1533-position model. The record is from RNAcentral.
AUACGGAGGGUGCAAGCGUUAUCCGGAAUCAUUGGGUUUAAAGGGUCCGUAGGCGGACUAUUAAGUCAGAGGUGAAAUCCCACAGCUCAACUGUGGAACUGCCUUUGAUACUGGUAGUCUUGAGUUAUAUGGAGGUAGACAGAAUGUGUAGUGUAGCGGUGAAAUGCAUAGAUAUUACACAGAAUACCGAUUGCGAAGGCAGUCUACUACGUAUAUACUGACGCUAAGGGACGAAAGCGUGGGGAGCGAACAGGAUUAGAAACCCUAGUAGUCC